GGAUGUGUGCCCGAAAAUCAAGGAUCACUUUGAUAGAGUGAACUAUAGGGGUUAACCCCCCUCAUAUCCU
This 70-nucleotide transfer RNA is filed under the name Caudacaecilia cf. asplenia ZRC 1.12502. RNAcentral describes it as "tRNA-Ile". The record is from RNAcentral. Lineage: Eukaryota; Metazoa; Chordata; Amphibia; Gymnophiona; Ichthyophiidae.